ACGGGAACCUUCGGGUUCUAGUGGCGGACGGGUGAGUAACGCGUGAGAAUCUACCAAAAGGACUGGGACAACCACUGGAAACGGUGGCUAAUACCGGAUGAGCCGCAACGUAAAAAGGGAAACCUGCCUUUUGAAGAGCUCGCGUCUGACUAGCUAGUUGGUGAGGUAAGAGCUCACCAAGGCAGCGAUCAGUAGCUGGUCUGAGAGGAUGACCAGCCACACUGGGACUGAGACACGGCCCAGACUCCUACGGGAGGCAGCAGUGGGGAAUUUUCCGCAAUGGGCGAAAGCCUGACGGAGCAAGACCGCGUGAGGGAAGAAGGCCCUUGGGUCGUAAACCUCUUUUAUCAGGGAAGAAAAAACUGACGGUACCUGAAGAAUCAGCCUCGGCUAACUCCGUGCCAGCAGCCGCGGUAAUACGGAGGAGGCAAGCGUUAUCCGGAAUUAUUGGGCGUAAAGCGUCCGCAGGUGGCUUAUCAAGUCUGCUGUCAAAGAGUGGGGCUUAACCCCAUAAAGGCAGUGGAAACUGAGAAGCUAGAGUGCCGUAGGGGUAGAGGGAAUUCCCGGUGUAGCGGUGAAAUGCGUAGAGAUCGGGAAGAACAUCGGUGGCGAAAGCGCUCUACUGGACGGCAACUGACACUCAGGGACGAAAGCUAGGGGAGCGAAUGGGAUUAGAUACCCCAGUAGUCCUAGCCGUA
RNAcentral lists this ribosomal RNA (698 nucleotides) under uncultured cyanobacterium. Its description in RNAcentral is "bacterial SSU rRNA". It matches the Rfam family "Bacterial small subunit ribosomal RNA", at positions 66 to 804 of the family's 1533-position model. Lineage: Bacteria; Bacillati; Cyanobacteriota. The record is from RNAcentral.